RNAcentral lists this ribosomal RNA (301 nucleotides) under uncultured bacterium. RNAcentral describes it as "partial 16S ribosomal RNA". It matches the Rfam family "Bacterial small subunit ribosomal RNA", at positions 509 to 807 of the family's 1533-position model. The record is from RNAcentral.
CAGCAGCCGCGGUAAUACGUAGGUGGCAAGCGUUGUCCGGAAUUAUUGGGCGUAAAGGGCUCGCAGGCGGUUUCUUAAGUCUGAUGUGAAAGCCCCCGGCUCAACCGGGGAGGGUCAUUGGAAACUGGGAAACUUGAGUGCAGAAGAGGAGAGUGGAAUUCCACGUGUAGCGGUGAAAUGCGUAGAGAUGUGGAGGAACACCAGUGGCGAAGGCGACUCUCUGCUCUGUAACUGACGCUGAGGAGCGAAAGCGUGGGGAGCGAACAGGAUUAGAUACCCCUGUAGUCCCUGUCUCUUAUAC